Molecule: ribosomal RNA, 449 nt
Filed under: uncultured bacterium
Lineage: Bacteria
Description: bacterial SSU rRNA
Rfam family: Bacterial small subunit ribosomal RNA
Source: RNAcentral
CGCCAGACUCCUACGGGAGGCAGCAGUGGGGAAUAUUGCACAAUGGGGGGAACCCUGAUGCAGCGACGCCGCGUGGGUGAAGGAGCACCUCGGUGCGUAAAGCCCUAUCGGCAGGGAAGAAACAGACGGUACCUGACUAAGAAGCCCCGGCUAACUACGUGCCAGCAGCCGCGGUAAUACGUAGGGGGCAAGCGUUAUCCGGAUUCACUGGGUGUAAAGGGAGCGUAGACGGCGACGCAAGUCUGGAGUGAAAGCCCGCGGCCCAACUGCGGGACUGCUUUGGAAACUGCCCGGCUAGAGUGCUGGAGAGGUAAGCGGAAUUCCUAGUGUAGCGGUGAAAUGCGUAGAUAUCAGGAGGAACACCGGUGGCGAAGGCGGCCUGCUGGACUGCAACUGACGUUGAGGCCCGAAAGCGUGGGGAGCAAACAGGAUUAGAUACCCCCGUAAAC